This 535-nucleotide long non-coding RNA is filed under the name Musa acuminata (dwarf banana). Its description in RNAcentral is "long non-coding RNA (MACU_LNC009892)". The record is from RNAcentral. Lineage: Eukaryota; Viridiplantae; Streptophyta; Magnoliopsida; Zingiberales; Musaceae.
AGUAGUAGUAGUAGUAGUAGUAGUAGUAGUAGUAGUAGUAGUAGUAGUAGUAGUAGAGAGAGAGAGAGAGAGAGAGAGAGAGAGAGAGAGAGAUCCGCACUGGAUAUCAUCUGAAACUGGUGAUGCUUAGUUAAAAUUUAGAGGGGAUGAAGUAGAGACUAAGUGGUGUGUUCUUGUGUUGAGACUUUGCUUAGUGAUAUAGGUAAGAGCAGCUAAUGCUAAUAGCUGAUCAGUACGAAUUAAGAAAUGGAUACCAUUGUGUUGUAAUAGAGUGUGGGUCUGAUGUUAGUAGAUGCUCAUCAACUCGUUAUUAUGAGCUUCCUUUUAUACUUUUAUGUUUGUGAUGAUUGCCGAUAGAAGCUAUUUAUUUUUCAUUAUCAAUCAGUGUUGAUGAUUUCUUUCACAAAAUGAAGAACAAAAGCUUAGUUUGAAUGAUAAAUACCUCUUGCUAUCAAAGGGAAGGAUGAAAAUGUUGUAGGAAGACACUUCAUCCACCUAAUACUUUUAGGAGAAAGAAAAGGAAAAUUUAUGAUGG